This 579-nucleotide ribosomal RNA is filed under the name Dacryopinax martinii. RNAcentral describes it as "partial large subunit ribosomal RNA". It matches the Rfam family "Eukaryotic large subunit ribosomal RNA", at positions 35 to 655 of the family's 3401-position model. The record is from RNAcentral. Lineage: Eukaryota; Fungi; Basidiomycota; Dacrymycetes; Dacrymycetales; Dacrymycetaceae.
UAAGCAUAUCAAUAAGCGGAGGAAAAGAAACUAACAAGGAUUCCCCUAGUAACUGCGAGUGAAGCGGGAAAAGCUCAAAUUUAAAAUCCUUCGGGAAUUGUAGUCUCGAGAAGCGUUUUCGGCCGUGGCCUCGGACAAGUCCCUUGGAACAGGGCGUCAUAGAGGGUGAGAAUCCCGUCCUUGCCGAGCACACCAUGUCUAUGUGAUACGCUUUCGAAGAGUCGAGUUGUUUGGGAAUGCAGCUCAAAAUGGGUGGUAAACUCCAUCUAAAGCUAAAUAUUGGCGAGAGACCGAUAGCGAACAAGUACCGUGAGGGAAAGAUGAAAAGCACUUUGGAAAGAGAGUUAAACAGUACGUGAAAUUGUUGAAAGGGAAGCGCUUGAAGUCAGUCGCGUCUCCGGAGACUCAGCCUCACGGCGCAUUUCUUCGUUGACGGGCCAACAUCAGUUUUGGCCGCGGGAAAAGGACCUGGGGAAUGUGGCAGCUCCGGCUGUGUUAUAGCCUCUUGUCGUACACCGCGGCUGGGACUGAGGACUGCUUAACAGGAUGUUGGCGUAAUGGCUUUAAGCGACCCGUCUU